CAAUAGCGUAUAUUAAAGUUGUUGCAGUUAAAAAGCUCGUAGUUGGAUUUCUGUCUUUGUUGUGCGGUCCACCGCGAGGUGAGCACUGUGUGAUGGGGACUUCCUCUCGGUGUUUGGUCGUGUUCUUAACUGAGCGCGGCUUUAACUCGGGACCUUUACUUUGAAAAAUUAGAGUGUUCAAAGCAGGCCUACGCUUGAAUACAUUAGCAUGGAAUAAUUGAAUAGGACUUUGGUUCUAUUUUGUUGGUUUCUAGGACCGAAGUAAUGAUUAAUAGGGACAGUUGGGGGCAUUAGUAUUUAAUUGUCAGAGGUGAAAUUCUUGGAUUUAUGAAAGACUAACUACUGCGAAAGCAUUUGCCAAGGAUGUUUUCAUUAAUCAAGAACGAAAGUUAGGGGAUCGAAGAUGAUCAGAUACCAU
This 418-nucleotide ribosomal RNA is filed under the name uncultured eukaryote. RNAcentral describes it as "SSU rRNA". It matches the Rfam family "Eukaryotic small subunit ribosomal RNA", at positions 592 to 1018 of the family's 1831-position model. The record is from RNAcentral.